Molecule: transfer RNA, 85 nt
Filed under: Yarrowia lipolytica
Lineage: Eukaryota; Fungi; Ascomycota; Dipodascomycetes; Dipodascales
Description: tRNA-Lys
Rfam family: tRNA
About the family: Transfer RNA (tRNA) molecules are approximately 80 nucleotides in length. Their secondary structure includes four short double-helical elements and three loops (D, anti-codon, and T loops).
Source: RNAcentral
GCCUGGCAGCUCAAUCGGGUAGAAGCGUGAGACUUUAUUCCCAAGGUCAUUCUCAAGGCUGUGGGUUCAAGCCCCACGUCGGGCU